RNAcentral lists this long non-coding RNA (4701 nucleotides) under Populus trichocarpa (black cottonwood). RNAcentral describes it as "long non-coding RNA (PTRI_LNC001079)". The record is from RNAcentral. Lineage: Eukaryota; Viridiplantae; Streptophyta; Magnoliopsida; Malpighiales; Salicaceae.
GCCAUCAAUAGGGCAGCUUCUUCUUGUCCUGCUGAUCCAUAAAACCCUUGAGCUCUUCCUAUCAAUUUCGAGCUUAGUUCUGGCUUUUCUGUCAAUGGAUCAUCGAUCAUGCUUAAAGAACCGAAAAGAGUUGCUGAUGUGUUGGAAGGUGAUGUCACUAUGGGGAUGGCUGUAGGGUUGGGGGCACUAUAAAUGUCAUGCCAAUAAACCCGAAAAUGGGUUAGCUUUUCUUUCUUGAACCCAUAUAGCUUGCGGUCCAGGCUUCUUACAAAGCCUUGAUUUUCUUUUGAAGCAUGAAUAAUGGCUAAAGGAGAGAGGAUGGUGCUGAGAAUGAUGAGUUUGGAAACUAUAAUGGGGACAAUUCUAGCCAUGGAAAUCGUUGCCAUGUUCACUAUUGAAGUACAGCAUUUAUAUAGAGCAUCAAAGCUAGCAUCGUGCUGGUAUUAGGUAUGUAGUCUUAUUUUAUUUUAUUAAGAAAUUAUUAUUUCCAAGUCCGUGAUGAUUACUUCAAGAAACAAGAAUAGUAGGUGCUAUUUCUUUUUUGUUAGAACUCAGUAACUCCAUUUUUUUGUACGGUUGGCUCCAUCAGUAGUAUUUAAAUUGGACCUGCGAUCUAUAUGCCCAUGCAUCAUGUGAGCAUAGUUAUUAAACCCGGUCCGGGUAUUGACCCGGCUAAGAGACCGGGUUUCGGGUUUUAUGGGUCAACUCGGGUCAACCCGGAAAAAUUAAAAAAAUAUUUUAAAUUUAAUAUUUUAUAUAAAAAAAUUAAAAAAAUAUAUCCAUGUUAUAAAUAAUAAUAUGUAAAAUAAUAUUUUAAAAAAAUUAUCUCACAUUAAAAAAAUAUUAUAUUAUAUUUUUAAAUUAAAGUGUUUAAUUAAAAAAAAACAUAUUAUGACUUAGACUAAUAACCACAGGAGCAAAUAUAACCACAGGAGCAAAUAUAAAGCUAGCUAGGUCACAUAGGAAGGAAUACACCAUAUACAUCAUGUCGUUUGUUUUGUGCGGGCUCUUAAUCUCAUCACCGUCUCCUCACAAAGUUUAUCUACCCUUUCUGGCUUCAUCACAAGCAACCAAACACCACACAAACCUAGAAAUUGAAAACAGUCUGCUACCUGUUGCCUCUCUCUCUCCUGAAACUGUGAAUUUGGUCUCUUUUAACCUUUAAUUUCCUUCAAGUUACAGUCAUCAAUCGUCACUCCCCAACUCGAUCAAUGGGUGCUCAUUGGUCUUCUUGAAACACCCCAACUGUCGCAGCUUUCGAUUGGGGGAGCCUCGAGCAUCCAGUAUAUGACAUUAAGGACUAUUCCUCCAUGGAGUAGUCCACUCAUAAAACAAGCAUGUAAGCGAAGCAAGAAAAGGCUUUCCAUUUUUUAGAUCUCUCAUCUGGUCAACAGUACACAUUCUUUUAUUCAACAAAUACAUCACAUGCCUGGAACGAGUUCAAGGAGGAGGGCAGUCAGGGAGCACAUGAAGGAGCUGCACUUUUCAGAUCUCUCACCGGGUCUCGUCCGGGUUUGCCCGGGUCUCUCGGGUCAUGGGUCGACCCGCCGGGUCGACCGGGUUUUGCCGGGUUAUUGUCCUGGCCGGUCUUUUAUUAAACCCGAACCGGUCCAGCCACCGGGUCCCGGGUCGACCCGCCGGGUCGGGCCGGGUUUAAUAACUAUGCAUGUGAGUGCUAUUUCUUUAAUAGAUAAUUGUUCCAAGACAUAACUUAAAGAACAAAACAGAGUUAAAAGAUUCUACUUUAAUGUGAAAGAAUUUAUUUUUAUUUACUAUUUGUUAAAAAACAAAUAAUUAAAAAAACACAAUGAUUUGAUAUGAUCAUACGAUGAACUUCAACACUUAAUAUACACGAAAAGUAAAUUUAAUAUUAUGAUGUAUUAUAUUUUUUAAAAAUAUUUUUUAAUUAAAAUUAUAUUAAAAUAAUUUUUUUCAGAUAAUUUUAUUUUAUAUUUUAUAUUAGUACAUCAAACUCAUUCAAAAACAUAUGAAAAAUCUCAAUCUAAUAUAUUUUAAAGUAAAAAAUAAUUUAAAACACAAAUUAUAACACAAAUUAAAACAAACACUUGGGAAAAAGGUUUAAUAUCGCUAAACCAUGUAGGAUUGUGGCACCAAAACCUUUUAAAUAACACUCUUAGCACCAACAUUAUUAAAAUCAACCAUAUUAAGAAGCUUAAUGGGUUAUCGGUUUAAUUACUAAAUCAUUGAUUAGCUAGAUAGCAUAAUAAAUUGUCUUAUAAUAUAAAUAUGUUUUGUUAUAUAAGAAGUAUAAAAUGAUGAAGUGGUGGGAUCAUUUUCUGGAGGAUAUUCGCCAAGUUUGAGUCUUCCAAGAUCGAACUUUUUACUUUCUUUUGUGUUUUUUUUUUUAAAAAAAAACCAGUCAGAGCUUAAUUCAAUUGGUCCAAUCACUCAAAUUUUAUGUUAACAUUUUGUUCAAUUUUGACUUGAUUCCAACAUACUGGGCCGGGUUUUUAACAGCCGGAGACAACAUCGCUUUGAGACAAAGUAUUGUCUUGUUUAUUGUGGUUCUUUUUAUACAAUUUUUUUUAAUGUUGCCGGAAAUGGCAUAUGCAUGAUUACAAGAUAAACGAUAAAUUUAAUACCAGCCAGUUAUCUUCCAAUGGAUUCAUAGAGAAAUCAUGGCAACCAGUUAGCUAGCUAGCUAUGUCAUUUUUUAUUAUUAUUAUUUUUUUUUUUUUAACGUGGGUGUCCGGACCAGCUUGCGUGCACCUCGACUAAUCCCACGGGUCCUGAAGUUAACGACCAUGUAAACCUCCAGUGGUCAUCAUAUGAGCAACCACAGGGUUCGAAUCUAAGAUCACAGAGGGAGCAAAUCUCUUGAUCCCAAGUUCUUAUCACUGAACUACCACUUAGAUGGUUAGCUAGCUAUGUCAUUUGCUUGUAUAACACAAGGCUGCAAAAUGAUAAAUUAAAUACCAUAUUAAAAUCGGACCCAUUGAUCGAUGAGAUUAGGUCACCAAGACCUUUAAAUCAAUAGCAUAUAUAUAGCUUAAUUGUAACUAAUCCAUUUCUUGCAGCUUUUAAGAAUGUACAAGAAGAACAAGAUAACACUUUGUCUCAACGCGAUGUCUGGCUCGGUUUAAUGCUGACACCAUUAUAAGGUGUAAUUUAAAUGUCUUUGUGCGCUAUCCUUGAAUAUUCGAUUGAUAGGUUUGAUGAUUUCAGCUGAUAGUUGGAUAUAUAUUUUUUUUAUUCUUUAUUUUUUUUUAAUUUUUUUUCUUGAUUUUAUUUUUUAAUAUUCAAUUGAUUGGAAAAUAAACUACAAGAUUUAUUUUUAUUUCCUUUUUAUAGGGUUAUUUUUAUCUCAAAUGAGUUUAUAAGAAAAUUAUUAACUCAAUAAAGUACGUAGCACGGGUUAUUAGGAUACUAAGAUCGUUAUAAUUUAUUAUUAUUUUAAUUUUUUUAAAAAAAUUAUCAUAAGUUUUUUUAAAAGUUAAGUUUUCUAUUAUUAUCAAUUGAAUCGCAGGGUUGAUCAUUUUGCUGCAUUCCCUUCUUGCUUGGUUCCGAUGCAACCAAAAGCUGGCAUAUAAGAUGUGAAAUAGAGGGUUGGUUGUUGAUGACAGAAAUACACAGCGAACUCGCCGUAACAUAGAGAUUUCACUACCGAUCUCAGUUUGCACCGAAAUAAGAGAAUUUUGUUGCAUACACAGCAUUUUUCCCAUUCUUUCUUCUAUUAUUUCAAUGAGAAAGAUCUCAAUCCAAUGCACUACCAAUCUCAGUUUGCACUGUGGAACUUAAUGGCCUCUAUUAAAAAGAAUUUGUGAAAAAACAUUUGGAAGAUGCAUGUGGAGUGAGCAAGGGAGAGUUUAUCAAGGCUUAAGAACGGAUUGGGAGGCUGAUAGUCACCAUCGGGUGGCAGCAGAAUUCAAAUUGGUUCCCGAAGGAGCUAAGCAGAGCCGCAUUGUGGUUGAACUGCACAUGUUCUGGAUCGGUGAUUUUUAUUCUAAUGAAAAUAUUCCGUCCGUGUAAAUCAUAAAUCAAUUUUCUAGUUGUGAUUUAGGUAAGAAUUCCCACUUGUUAAUUUGUUUUUUCUUUCCAAUAACUUUAACACGCAUGCGCACAACUCAGAUUACAAAUGACAACCUACUCUGCACACAUCAACUUAUUGAAAGACACCGCAAAGCCAAAAGAAAAUAACUUUCUAGAUAAGGGGGCCGGGCAUGGCAUCAAUAGUGCAAUACAUAGACAUUAUACUCAACGACAGCAUCACCAGAUUUUAGAUCAAAACUGUGAGUACUGGCCUGAGCAUAUCCUCUGGCAAACCGGAAAAGCCCACUACCUCCGAUCACCGGCAUCUCUCUCACCUUGGAAAAAACAUGGUUCCUCCCUAGUAUGCUAAUGGUGCUACCAUUGUACUUGCCUUGAAGGAAAACAAAGUUCAUGGCCAUCAAAAGGGCAGUUUCUUCUUGUCCUGCUGAUCCAUAAAACCCUUGAGCUCUUCCUAUCAAUUUCGAGCUUAGUUCUGGCUUUUCUGUCAAUGGAUCAUCGAUCAUGCUUAUAGAACCGAAAAGAGUUGCUGAUGUGUUGGAAGGUGCUCUCACUAUGGGCAUGGCUGUAGGGUUGGGGGCACUAUAAAUGUCAUGCCAAUACACACGAAAAUGUGUUAGCUUUUCUUUCUUCAACCCAUAAAGCUUGCGGUCUAGGCUUCUGACAAAAUCUUGGUUUUCUCCGGUGACAAAG